RNAcentral lists this long non-coding RNA (781 nucleotides) under Gallus gallus (chicken). RNAcentral describes it as "lncRNA (ENSGALG00010025561.1)". Lineage: Eukaryota; Metazoa; Chordata; Aves; Galliformes; Phasianidae. The record is from RNAcentral.
GGGAGGAGUAUGUAUAAUAAGAAUGAAAUUGUCACUACAGAUUUAUCCUUUUCAAGCACAAUGAAUUAAAUAAGUUUCUUCAAGUUUCUCAUGUAAUCAAAGACAGGUUUUUUUUUAGUUUUGUUUUCUUAUAAAAAAUAAAUGAAAAAAAAAUUACAAUGCUGAACUUGGAUAACAAUGAAUCUUCAUCUUUAAAACUUUUAUUCCUUGUAUGGAGCCUACAAACAAGAACGUCUAUAAACAUAACUGCCAGGAUAAAGCUAAAGCAAGAAUAUAUCAUCAGGACUGCUUUUCAGCUGCACAUGAGCAACAGAGACAACAGCUGAGAGGCAUUUAACAGCUACCUUGUAAAGUUCACAGAGCUGCACCUGUGUGCUCUGAAGUUCUUCGCGUGGUCUCCACCAGGUAAAUACUUGUAAGUUUGAAUUCUAAGAUAGUAUCCUUGAACUGUGUUUACUUUCACUGAAAUAAAUGUAAAUAGUGAUACUUUUAGCAUGUGAAUUGGUGUCUGCCAAACUGGGUCCAUAACUUCAUAAGACUUUAAAACAGCAUAAAAAAACUGACCAGUUUUAAAACUAACAUAUUAAAAGAAGGAAAGAAGAUGAGGUGUUAAUAUUUAAUUAACAUUGGAUAAAUCCAUUGGAUAGUCACAGUUAGAUGUUCAGCUCUGCAUUUUCCCUGCAUUGGGUGUGACUUAGCAGCAGCACUGUUUUUUGGUCACCAAAAAGUAUAUUUCGACCCAACACUGAUAUUGAAUUACAAACUAAAAAUCUAUUUAAAC